AUACGUAGGAUGCGAGCGUUGUCCGGAUUCACUGGGUGUAAAGGGAGCGCAGGCGGAUUUGUAAGUCGGCGGUGAAAUUUUUGGGCUUAACCCAAAAACUGCCACCGAUACUGCAAAUCUUGAGUGCAGAAGAGGUUGAUGGAAUUCUAGGUGUAGCGGUGAAAUGCGUAGAUAUCUAGAAGAACACCAAUGGCGAAGGCAGUCAACUGGUCUGCUACUGACGCUCAUGCUCGAAAGCGUGGGGAGCAAACAGGAUUAGAUACCCUGGUAGUCCACGCCCUAAACGAUGGAUACUCGAUGUCGGUCUGAAAGGAUCGGUGUCUAAGCAAACGCGUUAAGUAUCCCACCUGGGGAGUACGAUCGCAAGGUUGAA
Molecule: ribosomal RNA, 373 nt
Filed under: uncultured bacterium
Lineage: Bacteria
Description: bacterial SSU rRNA
Rfam family: Bacterial small subunit ribosomal RNA
Source: RNAcentral